UGGGGAAUUUUGGACAAUGGGGGAAACCCUGAUCCAGCCAUCCCGCGUGUGCGAUGAAGGCCUUCGGGUUGUAAAGCACUUUUGGCAGGAAAGAAACGUCAUGGGUUAAUACCCCGUGAAACUGACGGUACCUGCAGAAUAAGCACCGGCUAACUACGUGCCAGCAGCCGCGGUAAUACGUAGGGUGCAAGCGUUAAUCGGAAUUACUGGGCGUAAAGCGUGCGCAGGCGGUUCGGAAAGAAAGAAGUGAAAUCCCAGAGCUCAACUUUGGAACUGCAUUUUUAACUACCGGGCUAGAGUGUGUCAGAGGGAGGUGGAAUUCCGCGUGGAGCAGUGAAAUGCGUAGAUAGGCGGAGGAACACCGAUGGCGAAGGCAGCCUCCUGGGAUAACACUGACGCUCAUGCACGGAAGCGUGGGGAGCAAACAGG
RNAcentral lists this ribosomal RNA (429 nucleotides) under Acidobacteriota bacterium. RNAcentral's name for it is "Acidobacteria bacterium partial 16S ribosomal RNA". It matches the Rfam family "Bacterial small subunit ribosomal RNA", at positions 355 to 776 of the family's 1533-position model. Lineage: Bacteria; Pseudomonadati; Acidobacteriota. The record is from RNAcentral.